AGUGAACGCUGGCGGUAGGCCUAACACAUGCAAGUCGAACGGCAGCACAGUAAGAGCUUGCUCUUACGGGUGGCGAGUGGCGGACGGGUGAGGAAUACAUCGGAAUCUACUUUUUUGUGGGGGAUAACGUAGGGAAACUUACGCUAAUACCGCAUACGACCUACGGGUGAAAGCAGGGGAUCUUCGGACCUUGCGCGAUUGAAUGAGCCGAUGUCGGAUUAGCUAGUUGGCGGGGUAAAGGCCCACCAAGGCGACGAUCCGUAGCUGGUCUGAGAGGAUGAUCAGCCACACUGGAUCUGGGACCCGGUCCAGACUCCUACGGGAGGCAGCAGUGGGGAAUAUUGGACAAUGGGCGCAAGCCUGAUCCAGCCAUACCGCGUGGGUGAAGAAGGCCUUCGGGUUGUAAAGCCCUUUUGUUGGGAAAGAAAAGCAGCAGGUUAAUACCCCGCUGUUCUGACGGUACCCAAAGAAUAAGCACCGGCUAACUUCGU
RNAcentral lists this ribosomal RNA (491 nucleotides) under uncultured bacterium. RNAcentral's name for it is "partial 16S ribosomal RNA". It matches the Rfam family "Bacterial small subunit ribosomal RNA", at positions 29 to 506 of the family's 1533-position model. The record is from RNAcentral.